This is a non-coding RNA of Punica granatum (pomegranate), 1851 nucleotides long. NCBI's taxonomy places the organism in Eukaryota, Viridiplantae, Streptophyta, Magnoliopsida, Myrtales, Lythraceae. The record is from RefSeq and is a predicted model, not a curated record.
AUUUUUCCUUAACCCGCAAGGCCAAUAGGAACGCCACCCCCACAGUCGGAAAAAAGCUGACAAUAUAUCCUUUGGGCGACGGCGGCCCCCAGCUCCCCAUUCUGAUCGAUGGACAAGCGACGAAGAGAAAUGAUUGAGCUGCCCGUGGAAGUCUUGGCGGAUAUCCUCUCCAGACUCCCCGUGAAAUCGCUGAUGUGCUUGAAAUCCGUCUGCCGGUCAUGGCGCUCUCUGGUCGGCGAUCCUCAUUUCGUCGCCGAGUAUCUGGCGCGGUCCGGCUCCAACCGCUUUCUCCUGGCAAACUACUACUCGGACCUCCACGGUCAGUACCUCAUCUCGCUGCUCUCUUGCGAAACCCUCGAGGUGAUCGGCCGUGUCGAGAUCCCGCAUCCUAUCCGCUCCGGAUAUUUUAGGGUCGUCGGCUCAAUUAAUGGCAUUGUUUGCUUGGUAUCCGACCUCCCUGGCUAUCGCGUCUCGCUAUUGAACCCUGCAACUAGAGAAUCGAGGCUCCUGGCCGAUCCUUCAAUCCCCUUAGAAGUUCCCCGGACCUCGGUAUACAGGGGGGUUUACUAUGGAUUCGGUUACCAUCGUGGAAUCGAUGAUUACAAGCUGGUUAGGAUCAUCGCGACCAUCGAUAGCGGAAGCAAGCUGCAUUACGGUUACCGAGCCAAGGUUUUCUCACUCAAAGAUGGUCUAUGGAAAGAAAUCCCAGCUCCAAACUGUGAUAUUGUUUAUAAGCUUGACGGGACCGUCGCUGAAGGAGUUGUUCAUUGGAUUGCUUGCGGAGGCAGACAUGAAGGUUCUGAGGUUGUCUUGUCCUUUGACCUGGGCAAUGAUAAGUUUGAGCGGCAGUGCCUUCCUGAUCUCGGGGAGGAUGAUGGAGACUGUAAGAGGCUCACUGUAUUUGAAGAAUCACUUCGGUUGGUAGUCUAUUCUCGCUUGAGGGGAGAUAGGUGCCUCGUCAUAUGGGUGAGGAAUUCUCGAGCUUCUCAAGACGUUUGGACUAGACUAGCUAGAAUUGAGCCAACCUUUGGAACUCACAGGCCGGUGGGCUGGGGAGCAAGGGGCGAAUUUCUUAUGGAAAACAAUUAUGGAAAGUUGGUUGUCUAUGAAGUAAAUAACCAGAAUAUCCAAAACAAACGUGUUGAUGCUGAGAAGAUUCCAUGUUACUUCGAUUUCCAUCCCUACGUGGAGAGUGUAGUUCCGCUCACGAGAUAAGUUGGCGUUCUCUACUCUGUUCCUCUUUCCACCGGAAAAUCUCUAGAACUGCAAGACGCUACGGGUAAAAAACAGAGGCUGAGGCCAUUGUUUGAGGAGCUAAUGCGUCGGAGGCCUACGAUUUCAUACACCAUAAGGGCUAGAACUAGUGAUGGAGGCUUGGAGCUCCUGUGCAAUCUGAUGGCUCCUCCCCCGUUUUCUUCUCCGUCGGGAAUCAUCAUCAUCAUCAUCGGCAGCAGCAGGAGGAGCAGCAGCAGAACAUGCUCUGCUUCCUGUCUUCGAAAUUGGACUCUCCGUCGUCCCAGUUGAUUCACAAUUCUUCGUCCUCUUUUGGUAAUCUUUUGGGUACAUUUACUGGUAAUUCAUGCUGUCUUUUAAGCUCAGUGGCAGAUUUUACCUGGGCAGCAAUUACAUUGUCAAAAAGCCCUGUUUUGGAUGGAAAAUGCAGUCAACGAGAAAGACAGGGAAGGAGGGAGUGAGUCCCAUGCACAUUCCCAUGGCGUCCACAGCACGGUUUGUGCGAAAAAAGCGCCACGUCAGUACGCCAUUUGUUUUUUUUUUUGACGGAAUGUUAUCGGCAGUAAAAAAAUUAAAAUUUUGUGCUAUCUAGUAAAAUUAUUUUUAUUUGUGCUACAA